Molecule: ribosomal RNA, 1870 nt
Filed under: Campylobacter coli
Lineage: Bacteria; Pseudomonadati; Campylobacterota; Epsilonproteobacteria; Campylobacterales; Campylobacteraceae
Description: partial 23S ribosomal RNA
Rfam family: Bacterial large subunit ribosomal RNA
Source: RNAcentral
AAAAAAGGUAAGCUACUAAGAGCGAAUGGUGGAUGCCUUGACUGGUAAAGGCGAUGAAGGACGUACUAGACUGCGAUAAGCUACGGGGAGCUGUCAAGAAGCUUUGAUCCGUAGAUUUCCGAAUGGGGCAACCCAAUGUAUAGAGAUAUACAUUACCUAUAUAGGAGCGAACGAGGGGAAUUGAAACAUCUUAGUACCCUCAGGAAAAGAAAUCAAUAGAGAUUGCGUCAGUAGCGGCGAGCGAAAGCGCAAGAGGGCAAACCCAGUGCUUGCACUGGGGGUUGUAGGACUGCAAUGUGCAAGAGGUGAGUUUAGCAGAACAUUCUGGAAAGUAUAGCCAUAGAGGGUGAUAGUCCCGUAUGCGAAAAACAAACCUUAGCUAGCAGUAUCCUGAGUAGGGCGGGACACGAGAAAUCCUGUCUGAAGCUGGGUCGACCACGAUCCAACCCUAAAUACUAAUACCAGAUCGAUAGUGCACAAGUACCGUGAGGGAAAGGUGAAAAGAACUGAGGUGAUCAGAGUGAAAUAGAACCUGAAACCAUUUGCUUACAAUCAUUCAGAGCCCUAUGUAGCAAUACAGGGUGAUGGACUGCCUUUUGCAUAAUGAGCCUGCGAGUUGUGGUGUCUGGCAAGGUUAAGCAAACGCGAAGCCGUAGCGAAAGCGAGUCUGAAUAGGGCGCUUAGUCAGAUGCUGCAGACCCGAAACGAAGUGAUCUAUCCAUGAGCAAGUUGAAGCUAGUGUAAGAACUAGUGGAGGACUGAACCCAUAGGCGUUGAAAAGCCCCGGGAUGACUUGUGGAUAGGGGUGAAAGGCCAAUCAAACUUCGUGAUAGCUGGUUCUCUCCGAAAUAUAUUUAGGUAUAGCGUUGUGUCGUAAUAUAAGGGGGUAGAGCACUGAAUGGGCUAGGGCAUACACCAAUGUACCAAACCCUAUCAAACUCCGAAUACCUUAUAUGUAAUCACAGCAGUCAGGCGGCGAGUGAUAAAAUCCGUCGUCAAGAGGGAAACAACCCAGACUACCAGCUAAGGUCCCUAAAUCUUACUUAAGUGGAAAACGAUGUGAAGUUACUUAAACAACCAGGAGGUUGGCUUAGAAGCAGCCAUCCUUUAAAGAAAGCGUAAUAGCUCACUGGUCUAGUGAUUUUGCGCGGAAAAUAUAACGGGGCUAAAGUAAGUACCGAAGCUGUAGACUUGCGCACAACUUAGAUUAUUUAAGUUUAGAAUAUGAGAAACUAAGUUAUAUGUUUAGUUAUAUUUUUACUGAUUUUUAUAGAGUAAAGAUAGAAAUAAAACUUAGUAAAAUCAGUAAAAAUAUUCUUAGACUAAAGUUAAGUAGUUUAAGUUGUGUGCAAGUGGUAGGAGAGCGUUCUAUUUGCGUCGAAGGUAUACCGGUAAGGAGUGCUGGAGCGAAUAGAAGUGAGCAUGCAGGCAUGAGUAGCGAUAAUUAAUGUGAGAAUCAUUAACGCCGUAAACCCAAGGUUUCCUACGCGAUGCUCGUCAUCGUAGGGUUAGUCGGGUCCUAAGUCGAGUCCGAAAGGGGUAGACGAUGGCAAAUUGGUUAAUAUUCCAAUACCAACAUUAGUGUGCGAUGGAAGGACGCUUAGGGCUAAGGGGGCUAGCGGAUGGAAGUGCUAGUCUAAGGUCGUAGGAGGUUAUACAGGCAAAUCCGUAUAACAAUACUCCGAGAACUGAAAGGCUUUUUGAAGUCUUCGGAUGGAUAGAAGAACCCCUGAUGCCAUCGAGCCAAGAAAAGUUUCUAAGUUUAGCUAAUGUUGCCCGUACCGUAAACCGACACAGGUGGGUGGGAUGAGUAUUCUAAGGCGCGUGGAAGAACUCUCUUUAAGGAACUCUGCAAAAUAGCACCGUAUCU